Molecule: ribosomal RNA, 537 nt
Filed under: uncultured Acidobacteriota bacterium
Lineage: Bacteria; Pseudomonadati; Acidobacteriota
Description: bacterial SSU rRNA
Rfam family: Bacterial small subunit ribosomal RNA
Source: RNAcentral
UUGAUCCUGGCUCAGAAUCAACGCUGGCGGCGUGCCUAACACAUGCAAGUCGAACGCGAAAGUCCCGCAAGGGAUGAGUAGAGUGGCAAACGGGUGAGUUACACGUGGGUGACCUGCCCUCGAGCGGGGGAUAACGUCCCGAAAGGGACUCUAAUACCGCAUGACAUCCUGCUUUUGAACAGGCGGAGAUCAAAGCUGGUGAUCGCAAGACCUAGCACUCGAGGAGGGGCCCGCGCCUGAUUAGCUAGUUGGUGAGGUAACGGCUCACCAAGGCUUCGAUCAGUAUCCGGCCUGAGAGGUCGGACGGACACACUGGGACUGAGACACGGCCCAGACUCCUACGGGAGGCUGCAGUGGGGAAUUGUUCGCAAUGGGCGCAAGCCUGACGACGCAACGCCGUGUGGAGGAUGAAGACCUUCGGGUCGUAAACUCCUUUCGAUCGAGACGAAUGGCCUCCGGGUGAACAAUCCGGAGGAGUGACGGUACCGAGAGAAGAAGCUCCGGCUAACUCCGUGCCAGCAGCCGCGGUAAUAAGGU